UCCUACGGGAGGCAGCAGUGAGGAAUAUUGGACAAUGGAGGCAACUCUGAUCCAGCCAUGCCGCGUGCAGGAUGACUGCCCUAUGGGUUGUAAACUGCUUUUAUAUAGGAAGAAACGUUUCCAUGCGUGGGGAUUUGACGGUACUAUAUGAAUAAGCACCGGCUAACUCCGUGCCAGCAGCCGCGGUAAUA
This 191-nucleotide ribosomal RNA is filed under the name uncultured Flavobacterium sp. Its description in RNAcentral is "partial 16S ribosomal RNA". It matches the Rfam family "Bacterial small subunit ribosomal RNA", at positions 337 to 525 of the family's 1533-position model. The record is from RNAcentral. Lineage: Bacteria; Pseudomonadati; Bacteroidota; Flavobacteriia; Flavobacteriales; Flavobacteriaceae.